CACGUAGGGACCAAGCGUUGUCCGGAUUCAUUGGGCGUAAAGAGCUCGUAGGCGGUUCGAUAAGUCGGGUGUGAAACCUCCAGGCUCAACCUGGAGACGCCACCCGAUACUGUCGUGACUAGAGUCCAGUAGGGGAGCGUGGAAUUCCUGGUGUAGCGGUGAAAUGCGCAGAUAUCAGGAAGAACACCUAUGGCGAAGGCAGCUCUCUGGGACGGUACUGACGCUGAGACGCGAAAGCGUGGGGAGCGAACAGG
RNAcentral lists this ribosomal RNA (254 nucleotides) under uncultured bacterium. RNAcentral describes it as "partial 16S ribosomal RNA". It matches the Rfam family "Bacterial small subunit ribosomal RNA", at positions 524 to 776 of the family's 1533-position model. The record is from RNAcentral.